Molecule: non-coding RNA, 231 nt
Organism: Macaca mulatta (Rhesus monkey)
Lineage: Eukaryota; Metazoa; Chordata; Mammalia; Primates; Cercopithecidae
Source: RefSeq, a predicted model, not a curated record
ACUGACCUUCGCAAAGGACCAGAUCUCAGUUCUGCGACUGCAAGGGACUGAACUCUCUCAACAACCUGAAAGAGUAAGGAAACAGAUUCUCCACUAGAGUUUCCAGAAGGGAAUGCGGCCCACUAGCACCUUGACUGUAGCUGCAGGAGCACUGGACUUCCGAUCUACAGAAGUAUAAAAAAAAGUGGCUUUUAUAUCUAAGCAAUCGAUGAUAGAACCAAGCAUGGGUUC